This 468-nucleotide ribosomal RNA is filed under the name uncultured bacterium. Its description in RNAcentral is "partial 16S ribosomal RNA". It matches the Rfam family "Bacterial small subunit ribosomal RNA", at positions 28 to 507 of the family's 1533-position model. The record is from RNAcentral.
GACGAACGCUGGCGGCGUGCUUAACACAUGCAAGUCGAACGGAACGGCCCUGCUUUUGUGCGGAGCUCGAGUUGCGAACGGGUGAGCAACACGUAAGUAACCUGCCCCUCACCUUGGGAUAACCUAAUGCAACAGGGUCUAAUACCGGCUAAGAGUUCUCGCUGCAGGGUGGGGGCUGGAAAGAUUCGGCGGUUGGGGAUGGACACGCGGCCCAUCAGCUUGUUGGAGGGGUAGUGGCUUAGCAAGGCUUGGAACGGUAGCAGGCCUGCGAGGGUGAGCGGCCACAUUGGGACUGAGAUGCGGCCCAGACUCCUCCGGUAGGCAGCGGUGGAGUAUAGUGCAUAAUGGGCGGAAGCCUGAUGCAGCACCGCCGCGUGCGGGAUGAGGGCAUUCGGUUUGUAAACCGCUUCCGUCUGUGACGAAGCGUGAGUGACGGUAAUGGGUAAAGAAGCUCCGGCUAACUACGUG